This 442-nucleotide ribosomal RNA is filed under the name uncultured bacterium. RNAcentral describes it as "partial 16S ribosomal RNA". It matches the Rfam family "Bacterial small subunit ribosomal RNA", at positions 338 to 795 of the family's 1533-position model. The record is from RNAcentral.
CCUACGGGGUGCAGCAGUGGGGAAUAUUGGGCAAUGGGCGCAAGCCUGACCCAGCAACGCCGCGUGAAGGAAGAAGGCUUUCGGGUUGUAAACUUCUUUUGUCAGGGAAGAGUAGAAGACGGUACCUGACGAAUAAGCCACGGCUAACUACGUGCCAGCAGCCGCGGUAAUACGUAGGUGGCAAGCGUUGUCCGGAUUGACUGGGUGUAAAGGGCGUGUAGCCGGGUUGACAAGUCAGAUGUGAAAUCCUGCGGCUUAACCGCAGAACUGCAUUUGAAACUGUUGAUCUUGAGUACUGGAGAGGCAGAUGGAAUUCCUAGUGUAGCGGUGAAAUGCGUAGAUAUUAGGAGGAACACCAGUGGUGAAGGCGGUCUGCUGGACAGCAACUGACGGUGAGGCGCGAAAGCGUGGGGAGCAAACAGGAUUAGAUACCCCUGUAGUC